GUCUAAAGAAAUUUAAUAAGGCUUUGAGCAAAUCCUCUAGACAAACUAUUGUUUGUUCAUUUUUUUUCUUCUUUGCAACCUGGUUAGUACUUGGAUGGGAGACCGCCUGGGAAUACCAGGCGCUGUAGGCU
Molecule: ribosomal RNA, 131 nt
Filed under: Loxodonta africana (African savanna elephant)
Lineage: Eukaryota; Metazoa; Chordata; Mammalia; Proboscidea; Elephantidae
Source: RNAcentral